UACGUAGGUCCCGAGCGUUGUCCGGAUUUAUUGGGCGUAAAGGGAGCGCAGGCGGCACGGCAAGCCUGAUGUGAAAGCCCGCGGCCCAACCGCGGGACUGCAUUGGGAACUACCGGGCUGGAGUGCCGGAGAGGUAGGCGGAAUUCCUAGUGUAGCGGUGAAAUGCGUAGAUAUUAGGAGGAACACCAGUGGCGAAGGCGGCCUACUGGACGGUGACUGACGCUGAGGCUCGAAAGCGUGGGGGGCAAACAGG
This 253-nucleotide ribosomal RNA is filed under the name uncultured bacterium. RNAcentral's name for it is "partial 16S ribosomal RNA". It matches the Rfam family "Bacterial small subunit ribosomal RNA", at positions 524 to 776 of the family's 1533-position model. The record is from RNAcentral.